Non-coding RNA from Gossypium hirsutum (cotton), 156 nucleotides. The record is from Rfam. NCBI's taxonomy places the organism in Eukaryota, Viridiplantae, Streptophyta, Magnoliopsida, Malvales, Malvaceae.
UAUUAAACAUUCAUCAACUUCUACUGUUAAAAACUGGUAUGGCUAACGAAAUAACCAGACAGUUAACCAGACAGUUACACAUGAUGUGCCAUGGGUACCUCAUAUUGACGUACAUGGACAAGUUUUUAACAGUAAAAAUGGAUGGAUUUUUUAACA